UACGUAGGGGGCAAGCGUUGUCCGGAUUUAUUGGGCGUAAAGAGCGUGUAGGCGGCCAGGUAGGUCUGGUGUGAAAACUCGAGGCUCAACCUCGAGAGGUCAUCGGAAACCAUUUGGCUAGAGUCCGGAAGAGGAGAGUGGAAUUCCCGGUGUAGCGGUGAAUGCGCAGAUAUCGGGAAGAACACCCGUGGCGAAGGCGGUUCUCUGGGACGGUACUGACGCUGAGACGCGAAAGCGUGGGGAGCGAACAGG
RNAcentral lists this ribosomal RNA (252 nucleotides) under uncultured bacterium. Its description in RNAcentral is "partial 16S ribosomal RNA". It matches the Rfam family "Bacterial small subunit ribosomal RNA", at positions 524 to 776 of the family's 1533-position model. The record is from RNAcentral.